UGCGGAAGGCGAGAUCCCGCCACGUGGCCUCGGGGAUGCCCACGGUGCUAGCCCCGCGCGCCGGCCCUGCCGGGUGCCGGUCCCUUCGGUGUGGCACUGGGGCUCGGCCUCCGCGCAGCCCGGAUUUGUCUCCUCCCGGCUGGAGGCGCCGAGUCAGGACGGCCCCCGGGUCCCUGGCACACUCGGGGCUCCAGCUUGCCCAGUAGUCUGGUGACGGGGACAUCGCCUAUUUAGGAAGCGGAUGAGAUCAGAGAUCCGAGAGUAGCAGGAUAAUUCCAGUGUUAGCAAGGAACAGAGGUGCUGUGGUGCUAUGCCCAAGGUGUUAAUGAACACAAGCUUGGUGACUUGAGAUGAACUGGUACAACUUCAAGAAGAAAAGGAAAUGGCCGUGAAAUUACCUGAUGGUGAGUAAGUCUACCAUCAGCUGCCAGCCUAACCUGCUUUGACCCCUCACCAACCCUGCUCAGUUAGAAAAGACUCUCUCUCUUAUCAUGUACUGUUGCAAAGGAGCCCUCUGAUAUGGUCACAUGGCUGCCUGAACUUAACCUGGGCAAACAGCCAUUAGGAAAUAGAUUUCUCCAGAAUCUUGAGACUUGGAGACUUUGUUUCUUAUUCCUGCCUAAAUGGCCAACUGUCAUUGGAAAGGGGACAUCAUAAAUGUGGCCUGGUUACAUCAGGCACAGACCCCUCCUGGGGGCCUGGCUAUAAAAGAAAACAAAACAAAACACUGCCCACAAGGGAGAAAUCCGCCCUAACCUUUCAAAGGCCCUAGAAAACCUAAUCUACUGCUCUCCCUGGCCAAGAUGCUCUUCUCUAGCAGCCCUGCAGUUUAUUUCCAAUAAACUUUUCCUGUCUCUGGUG
Peromyscus leucopus (white-footed mouse) is the source of this 861-nucleotide long non-coding RNA. RefSeq lists it as uncharacterized. The record is from RefSeq and is a predicted model, not a curated record. Lineage: Eukaryota; Metazoa; Chordata; Mammalia; Rodentia; Cricetidae. The transcript is spliced from 4 exons.